This 62-nucleotide ribosomal RNA is filed under the name Proteus mirabilis. Lineage: Bacteria; Pseudomonadati; Pseudomonadota; Gammaproteobacteria; Enterobacterales; Morganellaceae. The record is from RNAcentral.
CUUGGCGGCCAUAGCGCGGUGGUCCCACCUGAUCCCAUGCCGAACUCAGAAGUGAAACGCCG